CCUAAGGGGCGCAGCAGUGGGGAAUCUUCCGCAAUGGGCGCAAGCCUGACGGAGCAAUGCCGCGUGAACGAAGAAGGUCUUCGGAUUGUAAAGUUCUGUCCUUAUCGAAGAGAGGGUAUAGAGUGAAAAAUGAUAUACUAGGACGGUAGAUGAGGAGGAAGCCCCGGCUAACUACGUGCCAGCAGCCGCGGUAAUACGUAGGGGGCGAGCGUUAUCCGGAUUUACUGGGUGUAAAGGGAGCGUAGGCGGCCUGGCAAGCCUGAUGUGAAAUACCGGGGCCCAACCCCGGGGCUGCAUUGGGAACU
RNAcentral lists this ribosomal RNA (305 nucleotides) under uncultured bacterium. RNAcentral's name for it is "bacterial SSU rRNA". It matches the Rfam family "Bacterial small subunit ribosomal RNA", at positions 338 to 634 of the family's 1533-position model. The record is from RNAcentral.